AGGCUUAACACAUGCAAGUCGAGGGGCAGCAUGGUCUUAGCUUGCUAAGACUGAUGGCGACCGGCGCACGGGUGAGUAACACGUAUCCAACCUGCCGUCUACUCUUGGACAGCCUUCUGAAAGGAAGAUUAAUACAAGAUGGCAUCAUGAGUCCGCAUGUUCACAUGAUUAAAGGUAUUCCGGUAGACGAUGGGGAUGCGUUCCAUUAGAUAGUAGGCGGGGUAACGGCCCACCUAGUCUUCGAUGGAUAGGGGUUCUGAGAGGAAGGUCCCCCACAUUGGAACUGAGACACGGUCCAAACUCCUACGGGAGGCAGCAGUGAGGAAUAUUGGUCAAUGGGCGAGAGCCUGAACCAGCCAAGUAGCGUGAAGGAUGACUGCCCUAUGGGUUGUAAACUUCUUUUAUAAAGGAAUAAAGUCGGGUAUGCAUACCCGUUUGCAUGUACUUUAUGAAUAAGGAUCGGCUAACUCCGUGCCAGCAGCCGCGGUAAUACGGAGGAUCCGAGCGUUAUCCGGAUUUAUUGGGUUUAAAGGGAGCGUAGAUGGAUGUUUAAGUCAGUUGUGAAAGUUUGCGGCUCAACCGUAAAAUUGCAGUUGAUACUGGAUAUCUUGAGUGCAGUUGAGGCAGGCGGAAUUCGUGGUGUAGCGGUGAAAUGCUCAGAUAUCACGAAGAACUCCGAUUGCGAAGGCAGCCUGCUAAGCUGCAACUGACAUUGAGGCUCGAAAGUGUGGGUAUCAAACAGGAUUAGAUACCCUGGUAGUCCACACGGUAAACGAUGAAUACUCGCUGUUUGCGAUAUACUGCAAGCGGCCAAGCGAAAGCGUUAAGUAUUCCACCUGGGGAGUACGCCGGCAACGGUGAAACUCAAAGGAAUUGACGGGGGCCCGCACAAGCGGAGGAACAUGUGGUUUAAUUCGAUGAUACGCGAGGAACCUUACCCGGGCUUAAAUUGCAGAUGAAUUACGGUGAAAGCCGUAAGCCGCAAGGCAUCUGUGAAGGUGCUGCAUGGUUGUCGUCAGCUCGUGCCGUGAGGUGUCGGCUUAAGUGCCAUAACGAGCGCAACCCUUGUUGUCAGUUACUAACAGGUUCCGCUGAGGACUCUGACAAGACUGCCAUCGUAAGAUGUGAGGAAGGUGGGGAUGACGUCAAAUCAGCACGGCCCUUACGUCCGGGGCUACACACGUGUUACAAUGGGGGGUACAGAGGGCCGCUACCACGCGAGUGGAUGCCAAUCCCCAAAACCUCUCUCAGUUCGGACUGGAGUCUGCAACCCGACUCCACGAAGCUGGAUUCGCUAGUAAUCGCGCAUCAGCCACGGCGCGGUGAAUACGUUCCCGGGCCUUGUACACACCGCCCGUCAAGCCAUGGGAGCCGGGGGUACCUGAAGUGCGUAACCGCGAGGAGCGCCCUAGGGUAAAACUGGUGACUGGGGCUAAAU
This 1438-nucleotide ribosomal RNA is filed under the name uncultured organism. Its description in RNAcentral is "SSU rRNA". It matches the Rfam family "Bacterial small subunit ribosomal RNA". The record is from RNAcentral.